AUUGAACGCUGGCGGCAGGCCUAACACAUGCAAGUCGAGCGGAUGAAGGGAGCUUGCUCCUGGAUUCAGCGUCGGACGGGUGAGUAAUGCCUAGGAAUCUGCCUGGUAGUGGGGUAUAACGUCCGGAAACGGGCGCUAAUACCGCAUACGUCCUGAGGGAGAAAGUGGGGGAUCUUCGGACCUCACGCUAUCAGAUGAGCCUAGGUCGGAUUAGCUAGUUGGUGGGGUAAAGGCCUACCAAGGCGACGAUCCGUAACUGGUCUGAGAGGAUGAUCAGUCACACUGGAACUGAGACACGGUCCAGACUCCUACGGGAGGCAGCAGUGGGGAAUAUUGGACAAUGGGCGAAAGCCUGAUCCAGCCAUGCCGCGUGUGUGAAGAAGGUCUUCGGAUUGUAAAGCACUUUAAGUUGGGAGGAAGGGCAGUAAGUUAAUACCUUGCUGUUUUGACGUUACCAACAGAAUAAGCACCGGCUAACUUCGUG
Molecule: ribosomal RNA, 484 nt
Filed under: uncultured bacterium
Lineage: Bacteria
Description: partial 16S ribosomal RNA
Rfam family: Bacterial small subunit ribosomal RNA
Source: RNAcentral